This 207-nucleotide ribosomal RNA is filed under the name uncultured bacterium. RNAcentral's name for it is "partial 16S ribosomal RNA". It matches the Rfam family "Bacterial small subunit ribosomal RNA", at positions 568 to 774 of the family's 1533-position model. The record is from RNAcentral.
UCCGUAGGUGGUUUGUUAAGUCUGUCGUCAAAGAAUGGAGCUUAACUCCAUAAAGGCGGUGGAAACUGAGAGACUAAAGUUCGGUAGGGGUAGCGGGAAUUCCCAGUGUAGCGGUGAAAUGCGUAGAUAUUGGGAAGAACAUCGGUGGCGAAAGCGCGCUACUGGGCCGAAACUGACACUGAGGGACGAAAGCUAGGGUAGCGAAAG